AUGGAGAGACAUAUGCUGCUCAUGAUUCUCAUUGUAGUUACAGGUGGAUUUGCUGAAAAGAUUGGACCAGGAGAAGGAAAUACUAAUAUAAUGAAGGGAGAAGGAGAGUCUGUGACACUGAGCUGUUCAUAUGAUGCAAGCAGCAAUAAUGUUUAUCUUUACUGGUACAGACAGUAUCCAAAAGGAGAACCUCAGUAUUUACUGCUCAAAGGUGCUUGAUCACAGACUUAUGAGGAUAUAUCAGACCGUCGGUUUCGGUCAACAACAUCCCAAUCAUCCACUGAACUCAUUAUUGAUAAAGCAGCUCUGUCAGAUUCAGCUCUCUAUUAUUGUGCUCUAAGAGUAGUUGCCCAGUGA
Ctenopharyngodon idella (grass carp) is the source of this 357-nucleotide non-coding RNA. The record is from the annotation of a RefSeq genome assembly. Lineage: Eukaryota; Metazoa; Chordata; Actinopteri; Cypriniformes; Xenocyprididae.